UUAUAUUUUGAAAAAUAAAAUUCUGUCAUGACCGGGAUGCGCCUUGCCCAUGAUAGUGCAUGAUGUGUUUUUAAAUAUAAAACUUUUAAACCACACACGAUUUACAUAACCAUGUUCGUCGAAAACAAUAUAAUUUAUGUGGAAAUCAGGACAUUACAUAUAUUUUUCUAAUUUAAUAUAAUCAUACUGCCUACAGCAGUUUCUGAAUUCACCCAUGUCACUACGUGAUUUAAAAAUAAACUUAAAUCGCUUUUUCGAGUGCAUGUCAUCUUUGCAUUUGAGAGAAAAAGUUCACAGUGCAUGUCAUAUCAACAUGAAUAAGGUGUAAGUUUGGUUACGUCCCUAGAAAUUGCCAAGUAUCAACUAUCUGGACUAGAAAUCAUUCUCACUCUGUUAAGAGGUUUAAAAACUGCACAGCAAGGGCAGAUCAGGGGCUGGAUAAAGUGUUUCCUGUACCUGAUGGAUUUGCCGAUGCCCUUCGGAAGGGCUGGAUGGACCAAAAAGGCACUAUUGUUUGUGUAGAAGGGGACCAUCAUGUUCAUCUCAACAAACCAGAGAGUGUGGCCCCCAUUAUCACUGAUUUUCUUCAGUCGUCCAGUCCCGACAGCACAGAGAGUGACUCUGACAGCAAUCAGUCUGCCAAAUUUUAACACACUCAGAUUACUUUUAUCCUAAUAAAUCUUAAAUUCUAUAAGUUUGUUCUCUGUAAUAUUUUCAAAACACUGUAACUCUAAUUAUUUUGAUAUUACAAUUUUACAUUUUAUAAAAUAAAAAAAGCAGAUAUUAAAAACAGAAAUGUGAGAUAUUCCAUUUUGUAGAUCCACCUAUUUUCAGCAAUGACAGAUUUUGCCCAAGCCUCAGUUUCAAAAACUGACCCCACGUCUCACACCUCAGUGUGUAAAAACUGCCUUCUUUGUGUGCUUUAAGUCUGACUUGGUGAUGUCUUAAAUAAAAAAAGUGACUAAUCAAAAUAUCAUGCUGCUGCUGCCUAUAAAUACUGUGCUUUACUCAACUUCAAAAAAUGCAUCCACAGUACCUUGUCCUCUGUAAUGCUGUUCUGUCCUGUUACUCUGAGUUACUUCAUUAAACUUAUA
RNA transcript from Myxocyprinus asiaticus (Chinese sucker), 1094 nucleotides. It is a transcript of the gene named serine hydrolase-like protein, with no coding region annotated. NCBI's taxonomy places the organism in Eukaryota, Metazoa, Chordata, Actinopteri, Cypriniformes, Catostomidae. The record is from RefSeq and is a predicted model, not a curated record. The transcript has 3 exons.